Molecule: ribosomal RNA, 1093 nt
Filed under: uncultured bacterium
Lineage: Bacteria
Description: bacterial SSU rRNA
Rfam family: Bacterial small subunit ribosomal RNA
Source: RNAcentral
GAGUUUGAUCCUGGCUCAGGACGAACGCUGGCGGCGUGGAUUAGGCAUGCAAGUCGCGCGACGGACCUUCGGGUUACGGAGCGGCGAACGGGCGAGUAACACGUGAACAAUCUGUCCCUACAUUCCGGAUAAUUGGCCGAAAGGCCUUGUAAUACGGGCGAGGAUGGUGGUGAGGCAUCUCACUAUCAGGGAAGGUGGAGGAGUAAUCCUUUGCCGUGCAGGGAGGGGUUCGCGGCCUAUCAGUUAGUUGGUGGGGUAACGGCCUACCAAGACGACGACGGGUAGCUGGUCUGAGAGGAUGGUCAGCCACAUUGGAACUGAGACACUGUCCAGACUCCUACGGGAGGCUGCAGUCGAGAAUCUUGGGCAAUGCACGAAAGUGUGACCCAGCGACGCCGCGUGGAGGAUGAAGGCCCUUGGGUUGUAAACUCCUUUUAGGGGAGAAGAACGUCCCUUCGGGGACUUGACGGUACCCCCUGAAUAAGCCACGGCUAACUACGUGCCAGCAGCCGCGGUAAUACGUAGGUGGCAAGCGUUGUCCGGAUUUACUGGGCGUAAAGCGUGUGUAGGCGGACCUUUAAGUAGAAAGUGAAAGGUUGGUGCUCAACACCAACAUUGCUCUCUAUACUGGAGGUCUUGAGUGUCGGAGAGGAAGAUGGAACUGCACGUGUAGCGGUGAAAUGCGUUGAGAUGUGCAGGAACACCAAUGGCGAAGGCAAUCUUCUGGACGAAAACUGACGCUGAGACACGAAAGCCAAGGUAGCAAACAGGAUUAGAUACCCUGGUAGUCUUGGCCCUAAACUAUGUUCACUAGGUGUCGGGGGUUUCCCUCGGUGCCGCAGCUAACGCAUUAAGUGAACCGCCUGGGGACUACGGCCGCAAGGUUGAAACUCAAAGGAAUUGGCGGGGGCCCGCACAAGCGGUGGAGCAUGUGGCUUAAUUCGAUGCAACGCGAAGAACCUUACCAGGGCUUGACAUGCUACUGCAAGCUGCCGAAAAGCAGUCGCCUUCGAGGGUGUAGCACAGGUGGUGCAUGGCUGUCGUCAGCUCGUGUUGUGAAAUGUUGGGUUAAGUCCCGCAACGAGCGCAACCC